AGAGUUUGAUCCUGGCUCAGGAUGAACGCUAGCUACAGGCUUAACACAUGCAAGCCGAGGGGAAACGAUAUUGGAAGCUUGCUUCCGAUAGGCGUCGACCGGCGCACGGGUGAGUAACGCGUAUCCAACCUGCCCACCACUUGGGGAUAACCUUGCGAAAGUAAGACUAAUACCCAAUGAUAUCUCUAGAAGACAUCUGAAAGAGAUUAAAGAUUUAUCGGUGAUGGAUGGGGAUGCGUCUGAUUAGCUUGUUGGCGGGGUAACGGCCCACCAAGGCAACGAUCAGUAGGGGUUCUGAGAGGAAGGUCCCCCACAUUGGAACUGAGACACGGUCCAAACUCCUACGGGAGGCAGCAGUGAGGAAUAUUGGUCAAUGGACGAGAGUCUGAACCAGCCAAGUAGCGCGCAGGAAGACGGCCCUAUGGGUUGUAAACUGCUUUUAUAAGGGAAUAAAGUGAGAGUCGUGACUCUUUUUGCAUGUACCUUAUGAAUAAGGACCGGCUAAUUCCGUGCCAGCAGCCGCGGUAAUACGGAAGGUCCGGGCGUUAUCCGGAUUUAUUGGGUUUAAAGGGAGCGUAGGCCGGAGAUUAAGCGUGUUGUGAAAUGUAGACGCUCAACGUCUGCACUGCAGCGCGAACUGGUUUCCUUGAGUACGCACAAAGUGGGCGGAAUUCGUGGUGUAGCGGUGAAAUGCUUAGAUAUCACGAAGAACUCCGAUUGCGAAGGCAGCUCACUGGAGCGCAACUGACGCUGAAGCUCGAAAGUGCGGGUAUCGAACAGGAUUAGAUACCCUGGUAGUCCGCACGGUAAACGAUGGAUGCCCGCUGUUGGUCUGAAUAGGUCAGCGGCCAAGCGAAAGCAUUAAGCAUCCCACCUGGGGAGUACGCCGGCAACAGUGAAACUCAAAGGAAUUGACGGGGACCCGCACAAGUAGCGGAGCAUGUGGUUUAAUUCGAAGCAACGCGAAGAACCUUACCUAAGCUUGACAUCCUUUUGACCGAUGCCUAAUCGCAUCUUUCCCUUCGGGGACAGAAGUGACAGGUGGUGCAUGGUUGUCGUCAGCUCGUGUCGUGAGAUGUUGGGUUAAGUCCCACAACGAGCGCAACCCUUGCCUUUAGUUGCCAGCAUUAAGUUGGGCACUCUAGAGGGACUGCCAGGGAUAACCUGGAGGAAGGUGGGGAUGACGUCAAAUCAUCAUGCCCCUUAUGCUUAGGGCUACACACGUGCUACAAUGGGUGGUACAGAGGGCAGCCAGGUCGUGAGGCGGAGCUAAUCCCUUAAAGCCAUUCUCAGUUCGGAUUGUAGGCUGAAACUCGCCUACAUGAAGCUGGAGUUACUAGUAAUCGCAGAUCAGAAUGCUGCGGUGAAUGCGUUCCCGGGUCUUGUACACACCGCCCGUCACACCACGGGAGUUGGGGGCGCCCGAAGCCGGAUUGCUAACCUUUUGGAAGCGUCCGUCGAAGGUGAAAUCAAUAACUGGGGUGAAGUCGUAACAAGGUA
This 1500-nucleotide ribosomal RNA is filed under the name metagenome. RNAcentral describes it as "bacterial SSU rRNA". It matches the Rfam family "Bacterial small subunit ribosomal RNA". The record is from RNAcentral.